Long non-coding RNA from Bubalus bubalis (water buffalo), 1142 nucleotides. RefSeq lists it as uncharacterized. The record is from RefSeq and is a predicted model, not a curated record. NCBI's taxonomy places the organism in Eukaryota, Metazoa, Chordata, Mammalia, Artiodactyla, Bovidae. The transcript has 3 exons.
UGGAGUGAAGAAUAUUUGGGAGGAAGAGGCUGUUUUAGGAUGGGAAGAAGCUGUGCCAAAAAAUACAAAAGUUGGCGUGAGAACUGCUUGUAUGGGAGAGAGUGAGUGGGCAGACCUGCUGGAGCAAAGGGCAGCUCCUGGGGCAACCUGAAAAGCAAGGUCAGUCACUGGGACACUCGGCUACCUCCCACUGGCUGUGGGAUCUGGGUGAUAAAUACACCUGCUGUGGCUUCAGUUUUAUCCUGUAUGUAAUGAGGGGAAAAAACCUUCCCUGACCCACAGCAGAUAAUAUUCCAAAGGAGCAGAGCUAUGAAUAUGAGCAGGAUAAAGAGGGAAACAAGCCAUAUUUCAUCUUCAAAGCAAUUAGUGUAACGAAGAAUGGUGAUGACAGCUUCCUGGCCUCCUGACACCAAAUUUCCUAUUCAAUGAUUAGAAGACUCCUAAAGAGCUAGUUUUCAUCUCUUCCUGAAAGUAUUGCAUGUGUCUUUGAGGUGGGAAAUGUGGCAAAGAGCUUUUAAGCCUUUGAGAAAAUGAUCCUUCCUCAUCUCAUGGUCUUGCCUGUGUUUCAGAUUCAUGAAGCAGGAUAGUGUGAUGGUUAGAGUAGGUGCUUUGUCACUUAUCAACUGGUUACUUAGUCUCCUUAGCCCCAGUUUCCUCACCCCACCUCCUUUUCUAAAUUUAUUUUUUUGGCUACACCAGGUCUAGUUACGGUACGAGGGAGCUAGUUCUCUGACCAGGGAUGGAACCCGGGCCCCCUGCAUUGGGAGCAUGGAGUCUUAGCCAGUAGACCACCAGGGAAGUCUCUGGAAGUUCCUUCUGUAUAAAAUGCGGGAGCUGCCAUUCCUGGAGUGCUGGCUGUAUCCACACCGUGGUGGUGAAGAGGUCCGGCUGCCACUCUGGACUUGGGCACAAGACUUGCUGUGGCCCUUGACCCCUGGUGAGUUUGUGGGAAGCUGAGACUCUACCCCCAAAAGGACUGAGUGGGUUGGUGCUGGGGCAACUCUCAGCUUAGACUUGGGGGGCCAGGUAGAGCCAGGUGGAUCUGGGAUGUGCAUAAACUGGAUCCAGUAGCCUGAUAGUGUAUAUUUAUUUGUUUGUUUUCUUCUUCCUGACUUGGGAGCAUGGAGACUGGUUAUUUUGUU